Molecule: ribosomal RNA, 490 nt
Filed under: uncultured bacterium
Lineage: Bacteria
Description: partial 16S ribosomal RNA
Rfam family: Bacterial small subunit ribosomal RNA
Source: RNAcentral
AUUGAACGCUGGCGGCAGGCCUAACACAUGCAAGUCGAGCGGCAGCGGAAAGUAGCUUGCUACUUUGCCGGCGAGCGGCGGACGGGUGAGUAAUGUCUGGGGAUCUGCCUGAUGGAGGGGGAUAACUACUGGAAACGGUAGCUAAUACCGCCUAACGUCGCAAGACAAAAGCGGGGGACCUUCGGGCCUAGCGCCAUCAGCUGAACCCAGAUGGGAUUAGCUAGUAGGUGGGGUAAUGGCUCACCUAGGCGACGAUCCCUAGCUGGUCUGAGAGGAUGACCAGCCACACUGGAACUGAGACACGGUCCAGACUCCUACGGGAGGCAGCAGUGGGGAAUAUUGCACAAUGGGCGCAAGCCUGAUGCAGCCAUGCCGCGUGUAUGAAGAAGGCCUUCGGGUUGUAAAGUACUUUCAGCGAGGAGGAAGGCGAUAAGGUUAAUAACCUGACUGAUUGACGUUACUCGCAGAAGAAGCACCGGCUAACUCCGUG